RNAcentral lists this unclassified non-coding RNA (229 nucleotides) under plant metagenome. RNAcentral describes it as "partial contains small subunit ribosomal RNA, internal transcribed spacer 1, and 5.8S ribosomal RNA". The record is from RNAcentral.
UCUCCGUAGGUGAACCUGCGGAGGGAUCAUUACAGAGUUCAUGCCCUACCGGUUAGAUCUCCCACCCUAUGUUAUUAUUACUUUGUUUCUUUGGCGGGCCGUUAGGCUCCGGCUCGACUACCGGCCCCGGCUGGUAAGCGCCCGCCAGAGGACCCAAAACCCUGAAUAUUAGUGUCGUCUGAGUACUAUAUAAUAGUUAAAACUUUCAACAACGGAUCUCUUGGUUCUG